AAAUUUCUCCAUUGUUAUUCUUGCAACUUAUCUGGAUUCCAAAAUAGUUGAGCAACCGUCAUCAAUUGUCAGCAGCGGCAUUAUCUCCGGCAGAGGUGUAACCACCGGUUUUCAUACAGAUCCGGUGGUUGUCACUAGAUUGAUGAGGUUUUGGUUGGGAUUCGCGACUUGGUGAGAUGUGCAGGUUAUAAGGUUGGUGACCAAGAUGAAAAGCUGGCAGAAGGUAUAAAGCUUUAGCUGGGGUGUUCGAGAGAUUUACUGAGAGACCAAUCAAAGUGGUGAUAUUGUUGAUAGUUCGGGUUCGGCUACGGAUGUGGCGUUUUCGAAUAGUACGAAAAGGGUGUUUGAAGUUGCGGUUGAGUAUUCAAGAACUAUGGGGAAAAUAAAUAAGAAGAGUGCAGGACUGGGGAUGAAACAUUUCGAUCUUAAUUAAGUGGGAGAAGUAGAGUUGCCGCGGUUCAUAACCAGUUUGAACAGGCUAAUUGUUUGUAAGUUUGUAAUA
This 502-nucleotide long non-coding RNA is filed under the name Helianthus annuus (common sunflower). RNAcentral's name for it is "hypothetical non coding rna". The record is from RNAcentral. Lineage: Eukaryota; Viridiplantae; Streptophyta; Magnoliopsida; Asterales; Asteraceae.